Molecule: ribosomal RNA, 512 nt
Filed under: uncultured bacterium
Lineage: Bacteria
Description: partial 16S ribosomal RNA
Rfam family: Bacterial small subunit ribosomal RNA
Source: RNAcentral
GACGAACGCUGGCGGCGUGCUUAACACAUGCAAGUCGAACGAAAAGAGGGAAAGAGCUUGCUCUUUCCGGAAUUGAGUGGCAAACGGGUGAGUAACACGUAAACAACCUGCCUUCAGGAUGGGGACAACAGACGGAAACGACUGCUAAUACCGAAUAAGUUCCAAGAGCCGCAUGGCCCAUGGAAGAAAAGGUGGCCUCUACCUGUAAGCUAUCGCCUGAAGAGGGGUUUGCGUCUGAUUAGCUGGUUGGAGGGGUAACGGCCACCAAGGCGACGAUCAGUAGCCGGUCUGAGAGGAUGAACGGCCACACUGGAACUGAGACACGGUCCAGACUCCUACGGGAGGCAGCAGUGGGGAAUCUUCCGCAAUGGGCGAAAGCCUGACGGAGCAACGCCGCGUGAGUGAUGACGGCCUUCGGGUUGUAAAACUCUGUGAUCCGGGACGAAAAGGCAGAGUGCGAAGAACAAACUGCAUUGACGGUACCGGAAAAGCAAGCCACGGCUAACUACGUG